This is a regulatory RNA element of Bacillus infantis NRRL B-14911, 114 nucleotides long. It matches the Rfam family "ylbH leader". From Rfam's summary of the family: This family is a putative regulatory RNA structure that is found upstream of the ylbH gene in B. subtilis and related low GC Gram-positive bacteria. NCBI's taxonomy places the organism in Bacteria, Bacillati, Bacillota, Bacilli, Caryophanales, Bacillaceae. The record is from Rfam.
AGAAAAAAACCCUGCAUUCCUGCAGGGCCCUUCUAUAUCCCAUAGGGACAGAAGGCAAAGGGAGAGGAGAAACCGGAGGAAGAACUUAUGGGGAAACGUAAGUCUUCUCCGCGG